RNAcentral lists this long non-coding RNA (1062 nucleotides) under Homo sapiens (human). RNAcentral's name for it is "HSALNT0017992". The record is from RNAcentral. Lineage: Eukaryota; Metazoa; Chordata; Mammalia; Primates; Hominidae.
GGAUAACCUCAAUGACCUUCAGAUUCUGAACUUAGGUAUCCCCUCUGAGAAUUUAUCAGAAAAACAAGCAAUAAGUGAGACCAACGUUGUGAGGUAUUAACUCGGAACCGUCAUCUAUCCUUGUGGAGAAAAACCCGGAGGACUUGGAUUAGGACCCAAUAGUCUACCUUGGCGGCAGGCCUGGAUCUUGAGGAGGAAGGCACUUCUGAAAUAGCUGCAACUCCCGGCACAUUGUAGGGUUGAACUUCCCUGUUUGCAUUACAUAGGACUGGUCAUCUGACUGGCUGUGGCCAGUGAAAAUGUAGAUGAAAAUAGCCUGUAUCACCUCUGGACGAGUCAUUAGGAGUCAGUGUAUGAUUUGAUACAUUUCCUUCUCUCUGCCAUGGUGAUUGGUGAUGGAGGCUCUAUUAGUUUUUGUUCCUGAGUAAAGUAAUGUGGGUAUGAGUCCCUAGCUGACUUCCAAUACGAGUGAGAAAUAAACCUUAAUUGUUUUAAGCCUCCAAGCUUUGGAGUUUGUUGUACAGCCCACCAUGACAAAUAUACUUUUAGUCCUUUAUUUACAUGCUUUAAAAUACUGCUUGCAUUUUCUGAUUACCAUAUGUUCAUUGUGGAGAAUUUCAAAAAAUAUAAAAAAAAACCUUUGAAAUCACUUACAUAGAAAUAGUCUCUGUUAAUAUUUUGAUGUAUUGUCUUCCUCUCCCAAUUUAAAAAAUCAGGAUCCUAAUAUAUACGAUAUUGAUUUUUUCACUUCAUAUAUACUCUUAAAAUACAUGAAUUUGCUGCAUAUUAUUAAUUGAUGAGGAAGUGUUAUAAUCUAUUUUUAUAUUUAUGUUUUAUAUUUAUACUAUACAAUUCAUAAGAGUCACAUUUUAUUUUUGUACUUUUUCUUGUUGUAAAUAACAUUCCAAUGAAACUUUUGUGAUUAAGUCUUUGCUCAAAUUGCUGCUGCUGUCCUUGGAGUAGAUCCCUAGAAGGUGAACGACUAGGUCAAGGAGUAUGCAUACUUUUAAGAUUUUUGCUACCUAUUGCCAGGAGAAAGGUUAUACCAAUUAACACGUCAGC